Molecule: long non-coding RNA, 396 nt
Organism: Lepidothrix coronata (blue-crowned manakin)
Lineage: Eukaryota; Metazoa; Chordata; Aves; Passeriformes; Pipridae
Exons: 3
Source: RefSeq, a predicted model, not a curated record
GGUCAAUUCUCUCAAGACUGUCUUCAGUCUCCCAGGCUGCCCUGAGAGGUAAAACAUAGCUGGAGGAGCAGAGUCAAGACUAUAAACACGUCACUUCAAGACAUCGAGCUGCCUGCUUUUCGGGAACCCUACUGAAGAGCACGUGGCCUGGCCUUGGCAACACUGCCUGGAGUGCAGGUCUUCACCAAAAGCAAUGGUUCACCUGACUCCAGUCACAUUUUCCACAACCGGAACAACCCUGAAAAUAAAAGAGAAAUUAAAAAUUAAACGUCUGAACUGGGUGACAAGCAGAACAUAUUGCAACGAGCCAGGGAUGUCAGAAGUACCACACUGACUGCAAGGUUGGUCAGCAUGGGGAAUGUUUGCUUAAGCACAUAUGGUAACAUGAGAGAAGUC